UACAGAGGUGGCAAGCGUUGUUCGGAAUUACUGGGCGUAAAGGGCGCGUAGGCGGCCAUCUAAGUCAGACGUGAAAUCCCCCGGCUUAACCUGGGAACUGCGUCUGAUACUGGAAGGCUUGAGUAUGGGAGAGGGAUGUAGAAUUCCGAGUGUAGAGGUGAAAUUCGUAGAUAUUCGGAAGAACACCAGUGGCGAAGGCGGCUCACUGGCCCGGUACUGACGCUGAGGUGCGAAAGCGUGGGGAGCAAACAGG
RNAcentral lists this ribosomal RNA (253 nucleotides) under uncultured bacterium. RNAcentral describes it as "partial 16S ribosomal RNA". It matches the Rfam family "Bacterial small subunit ribosomal RNA", at positions 524 to 776 of the family's 1533-position model. The record is from RNAcentral.